AGUGAACGCUGGCGGUAGGCCUAACACAUGCAAGUCGAACGGCAGCACAGUAAGAGCUUGCUCUUACGGGUGGCGAGUGGCGGACGGGUGAGGAAUACAUCGGAAUCUACUUUUUCGUGGGGGAUAACGUAGGGAAACUUACGCUAAUACCGCAUACGACCUACGGGUGAAAGCAGGGGAUCUUCGGACCUUGCGCGAUUGAAUGAGCCGAUGUCGGAUUAGCUAGGUGGCGGGGUAAAGGCCCACCAAGGCGACGAUCCGUAGCUGGUCUGAGAGGAUGAGCAGCCACACUGGAACUGAGACACGGUCCAGACCCCUACGGGAGGCAGCAGUGGGGAAUAUUGGACAAAGGGCGCAAGCCUGAUCCAGCCAUACCGCGUGGGUGAAGAAGGCCUUCGGGUUGUAAAGCCCUUUUGUUGGGAAAGAAAAGCAGCAGGUUAAUACCCCGCUGUUCUGACGGUACCCAAAGAAUAAGCACCGGCUAACUUCGUG
This 492-nucleotide ribosomal RNA is filed under the name uncultured bacterium. Its description in RNAcentral is "partial 16S ribosomal RNA". It matches the Rfam family "Bacterial small subunit ribosomal RNA", at positions 29 to 507 of the family's 1533-position model. The record is from RNAcentral.